This 576-nucleotide ribosomal RNA is filed under the name uncultured Vibrio sp. RNAcentral's name for it is "bacterial SSU rRNA". It matches the Rfam family "Bacterial small subunit ribosomal RNA", at positions 162 to 733 of the family's 1533-position model. Lineage: Bacteria; Pseudomonadati; Pseudomonadota; Gammaproteobacteria; Vibrionales; Vibrionaceae. The record is from RNAcentral.
GCUAAUACCGCAUAAUGCCUACGGGCCAAAGAGGGGGACCUUCGGGCCUCUCGCGUCAAGAUAUGCCUAGGUGGGAUUAGCUAGUUGGUGAGGUAAUGGCUCACCAAGGCGACGAUCCCUAGCUGGUCUGAGAGGAUGAUCAGCCACACUGGAACUGAGACACGGUCCAGACUCCUACGGGAGGCAGCAGUGGGGAAUAUUGCACAAUGGGCGAAAGCCUGAUGCAGCCAUGCCGCGUGUAUGAAGAAGGCCUUCGGGUUGUAAAGUACUUUCAGUUGUGAGGAAGGGGGUAGCGUUAAUAGCGCUAUCUCUUGACGUUAGCAACAGAAGAAGCACCGGCUAACUCCGUGCCAGCAGCCGCGGUAAUACGGAGGGUGCGAGCGUUAAUCGGAAUUACUGGGCGUAAAGCGCAUGCAGGUGGUUCAUUAAGUCAGAUGUGAAAGCCCGGGGCUCAACCUCGGAACUGCAUUUGAAACUGGUGAACUAGAGUACUGUAGAGGGGGGUAGAAUUUCAGGUGUAGCGGUGAAAUGCGUAGAGAUCUGAAGGAAUACCAGUGGCGAAGGCGGCCCCCUGGA